Culex quinquefasciatus (southern house mosquito) is the source of this 222-nucleotide long non-coding RNA. RefSeq lists it as uncharacterized. The record is from RefSeq and is a predicted model, not a curated record. The transcript has 3 exons. NCBI's taxonomy places the organism in Eukaryota, Metazoa, Arthropoda, Insecta, Diptera, Culicidae.
GGUUGUUUGACCAAUACGACUUCAAAACAAAAAUCAUGAACGCUUCAAUUCUACUGUUUUGCUUGGUGGCGGCGUUCCUGGCCGUACUUGGGGCUGCCGUUCCGGCUGUCGAGAUGGCUGAGAACGAAGUAGCAGAACGUGCGCAGAGAGCUGCUAUGGAAGCACCGGGUUGCUUGUGGAUGGGAUGUAUCUAAGAAAAAUCUCCCCGGGCAGACGGUAAUA